UGCAUCAAACCACGUGUCACACGCAUCCCUAUCCCCAAGCAUUUUUAAUUCCCAGAACAAAAGUCUACCUUGGAGUCUAUCCCCCUUGACCCAUUGAUCAACUAUCGAUAUUCGUCUACAUUCUGGGUCUUCAAAUACCAAGUGGCUACUUAAUUAAUUCGAUGUGUCCAACACGUUCAAGGAAAAAACACAAAAGAAAAAGCAAUUGAUCAAUAGCAUGGUCUCUCUCUCCUUAUUGCCCAACUUCCUCGUAAUAGCUACCGAGGUUUGCUGCAAACUAUGCAGUUUAUAAAUAGGGUCGAGUCAGUAGUACUUAUGCAUGGUAGCAGAAGCAAUAAAAGAAAUUAACAGUAACCCUUUUCAUGGCUUCCUUAACCACAGCUUGCCUAUUGGCACUACUACUCACUGCUUCUCUAUCUCUGCCCAUGGAGAUCACAGCAGUCCGUUUCCCAUCUCCACAACUUGGGAUUCCUAAGAAACUCUCAAUUCCAUCCCCAUCACCAUUACCCACCAUCUUUCCUCCACCUCAACCCCACCACAAAUCUCAACCACCUCCAAAAUGUGAUGAUGAAACUCCUCCUCCUCCUCCUCCUCCUCCUCCUCCUCCGCCGCCGCAUCGCUCUGGCUCAAAGAGGGCACUGCCACCGGGAACGGUGUACUAUUUGCCUCCUUUUCCAGGAAUCUGAUAAGAUCCUGGAUGAAAGCACAGGGAUGCAAAUAUAUGUGCAUGUCAAUUAUAUAAUAAGCGUUCUUAUACAAGCUAGAAUAAUGAAGGGGAAGGCGGUGGUUCUAUCUGCAAGCUGUAUACUUGCAGCUGCUGGCAUGCUGCUGUGAAAAAGUUACAAAAACACAAGUUGCGCGCAAGGGAAGAUCAGAGAAAUGAAGUACUCUAUAUGCUAAUUAUAGGCUUAUAGCUGUUGUGAAAUAAGUUACAAAAACACAUGAUACGAUUGUUGUGUAAGCAGUGAAGAAGAGAAAUAAUUUAAUAAAGACAUUGUUUUAUAUA
Long non-coding RNA from Juglans microcarpa x Juglans regia, 1006 nucleotides. RefSeq lists it as uncharacterized. The record is from RefSeq and is a predicted model, not a curated record. Lineage: Eukaryota; Viridiplantae; Streptophyta; Magnoliopsida; Fagales; Juglandaceae. The transcript has 2 exons.